UUAUUGAUAUGCUUAAGUUCAGCGGGUAUCCCUACCUGAUCCGAGGUCAACCUGAAAAAAUAGAUUGAGGGGGGUCGGCUGGCGCCGGCCGGGCCUACAAGAGCGGGUGACGAAGCCCCAUACGCUCGAGGACCGGACGCGGUGCCGCCGCUGCCUUUCGGGCCCGCCCCCCCAGCGCGGGGGGGGGCGGGGGCCCAACACACAAGCCGUGCUUGAGGGCAGCAAUGACGCUCGGACAGGCAUGCCCUCCGGAAUACCAGAGGGCGCAAUGUGCGUUCAAAGACUCGAUGAUUCACUGAAUUCUGCAAUUCACAUUAGUUAUCGCAUUUCGCUGCGUUCUUCAUCGAUGCCGGAACCAAGAGAUCCGUUGUUGAAAGUUUUAACUAAUUUAGCUAGUUUCUCAGACUGCAACUUCAGACAGCGUUCACAGGUGUCUUCGGCGGGCGCGGGCCCGGGGGCGGAAGCCCCCCGGCGGCCGUGAGGCGGGCCCGCCGAAGCAACAGGGUUCGGAAAACACGGGUGGGAGGUUGGACCCAGAGGGCCCUCACUCGGUAAUGAUCCUUCCGCAGGUUCACCUACGGAAACCUUG
This 589-nucleotide unclassified non-coding RNA is filed under the name Penicillium copticola. Its description in RNAcentral is "sequence contains ITS1, 5.8S rRNA gene and ITS2". The record is from RNAcentral. Lineage: Eukaryota; Fungi; Ascomycota; Eurotiomycetes; Eurotiales; Aspergillaceae.